GACGAACCGUGCGAACGUUGUUCGGAAUCACUGGGCUUAAAGGGCGCGUAGGCGGGCUGACCAGUCUGGGGUGAAAUGCCGCGGCUCAACCGUGGAACUGCCUUAGAUACUGUCGGCCUCGAGGAAGGUAGGGGCAUGCGGAACUGUAGGUGGAGCGGUGAAAUGCGUUGAUAUCUACAGGAACUCCGGUGGCGAAAGCGGCGUGCUGGACCUUUUCUGACGCUGGGGCGCGAAAGCUAGGGGAGCAAACGGG
RNAcentral lists this ribosomal RNA (253 nucleotides) under uncultured bacterium. RNAcentral's name for it is "partial 16S ribosomal RNA". It matches the Rfam family "Bacterial small subunit ribosomal RNA", at positions 524 to 776 of the family's 1533-position model. The record is from RNAcentral.